GACACAUCAUCAAUCAUGUGAUUUAUUUUUUAGUUAAAAUAUUAAAUAUAGAAAAAAAGUUCCCCCCCUAAUUACCUGUAGCCGCCUAAUUACAUUGUUAUAUGUAACUAGAAAGUGGAUCUUUAUUUCGUUAGUAAAAACAAAAACAAAAAAACCAUGGCUCAUACAUGUCUGGCCGCCAUGGUGUCCUCCGUCACAGUCUCACUGCCCUAUCUGACCACCUCCUCCUACGCCAAACCGCCGUCUUACUUCUUCAGCAACCUCAAAAUCCUCCUUCUCAAAGCACCCCUUUCAGCUUCCCGACGAAGAACCCCCAAUUUCACUAGGUAUAAUAUGUAAUUACGAGUUCCUGUUUUCUUGUGUUUAUGAUCGAGCUAGCUUCUGUAUUUUAUUCAGGUGACUGAUAACCUUGUGGGGCGCCCCCAUAAUUGGAGCCUUUCGAUCACUGUGAAUUGCUACAACGAUCAAGUAGUAGACGAGGAUGAAGAUGAAGAAUAGGAUCGGAGUUUGGAUCUGUUAGUUAGAUUUGUUCAAAACGUAUUUAGAAAGAUUUCUAAACGAGCAAGGAAAGCCGCUCGAUCGGUUUUGCCUGUCUUCAUCCCUAGUAAUCUGGUAGGUAUCCUUCAAUCGAUUUUAUAUUCCUUUUUUUUCCUUAUGUAAUUUAUGAAGGAUCCCUAGGUGGGAUUAUCCGUUAAUGGUGGGUUUUAACGGCAUUUCUUGAGGUAAUUCAUCAUUUGAUUCACCUGUGUUUAAAUCGAGUAGUUAGUCACUUUACACUUACUACUUAACUCGCUAGCUUGGAUAUCAGCAAUUCGACUAUUUAUACAAAAGUAAUUAGCAAAAAUCAGCAGCGUUUCAAAUAUUUAUAAGCAGCAAAUUAGCAAUUCAUGUUCAUGUGUUUACCAGCAACUAAACUAACUUUUCAGUUUUUGUGAAGUAUGAGGACUAUAUUUUGAUAAACUAAUGGGAUUAGCUGCUUAGUUUUCAUAAAGUAGAGGGAUAGGAUAAACUAAUGUGCAGCUGUAAUUACUUAUAUGGAAAAUAUUGAUUUUAAUAGUGUUAGAGUCGGAUAAUGUUAGACUGAAAUGAAAUGGAAUAGGAUAAACUAAGUUAUAAACCAAAAGGGAUGAUUGGUUCAGUAGACUGAAAUGAAAUACUGUUAAACUGAUAGAAUAAAUCUACAUCUAUUGGUGGAAAACCUUGGCUGUUCUGGCUGGGAAUUCAAUAUGCUUUCUUAAGUUUUUGUGUUCAACAUUUUUAUUCUGGGUUGGUCUGGUUAUUAGUGCUGUUAACUUGGUUGGAAAUUUGGGCUUUUAGUUAUUUACAGUAGGGAUGUUUUGCGAACCAAUCAGCAACUUUCAGUUAGUUAUAUACAGUGGGAGGGUGGAUAUGGUCUCCCUGAUAGCUUUGAGGUAAUAUUAAUUUUCAAGACAAAGAACAACCUUUUAUAGAUAAAUAUCCUAAGAAAAUGUACAUAAAAAGACAUUAAGAAACAGAGUUGAAAGGUUCAUAUGUACUGAGAUCCUUGACAAUUGUAGCAAUGGAGCCAGCCGCUGCAAGAACUGAUACAAUCAGGCAAAGCAACACCAAGAAGUUUAACCAUAUCCAUUUCCAACUAAAGGCUCGGAUCUGUUCUCUCGAUAUGUGCAUUUGGAUUGGGAAAUACACUGUCAGCGGCCAAAACGAAGCGGCACCCAGGAGGCCGAGGAUUGCAUUGAAGAACGGUAGAAGCAUCGCCAGCACGAUGGUCAGUAUCACGUAACCUGUUCGCCAUACAACCCUGAAAACACUGAAACUGUAAACCCCAAACAAUGGAAGCUUAAUUGGUGGACUUUCUUUGAUGAAACUGCUGUUUGGCCAUCGGUUGAAGCACCUGUCUUCCACCUGUUUGAAAAUUGGCUGACAGAAUACCUAUGAAGAAAACCAUCAAGAUUUUGCUGAAGAUAUGGGGAUAUUUUAUUGUGUGUUGUUUGUAGGUGAUGGUAAUGGGGGUGUUUUUACCUGGUAAGCUCCUAUAAGAUGUACAAUGAUGAAUACAUUAGCCAUGUCGAUAAGCCAG
RNAcentral lists this long non-coding RNA (2059 nucleotides) under Gossypium raimondii (Peruvian cotton). RNAcentral's name for it is "long non-coding RNA (GRAI_LNC010282)". Lineage: Eukaryota; Viridiplantae; Streptophyta; Magnoliopsida; Malvales; Malvaceae. The record is from RNAcentral.